AAGUCGUAACAAGGUUUCCGUGCCUCAAGUACGGGACUGCUGUUAAUUCAGCAGAUCCUUCCGCGUAUAACACUUGCCGAAGCCUUAGCAGCCUGAAAGGGUGCAACUCCAACGACUGUAAAUAAGAGAGUUGCCUAAAUGCUAGUCUGCGCUCAUUGCAGGCGACACUAUCAAAUUGCGGGAACACCCUAAAGACCUCAACACCAAACGAUGUGGGAAACCUCAUCGUGGCCGAGCUAAUAGCCCUGGGUAUGGUAACAGCUUGAGGUAUGAUGCACCCGUAAGGGAGUUGAAAUGGGCAAUCCGCAGCCAAGUCCUAACGUACUCUGUUAAGUCAGGGACCAUGGAUGCUGUUCACAGGCCAAAUGGUAGUGGGUGAUUCCGUUCAGGAAUUGCUUAAGAUAUGGUCGGGCCCCUUCAGAAAUGUUGGGGAUAAGUUUACGCUUAGAAAGAGUACGUUUGCCUCUUGAACAGAACCGUUCCGUAGGUGAACCUGCGGAAGGAUCAUUACCGAGUAUGGGUACCCUUUGGGUACCUACUCCCACCCUUUGUGAACCUUUUUCGUUGCCUCGGCGGAUCGGUGGUUUCCACCCUUCGGCUUCUAGCUGAAGAGAGUCCGCCAGAGGAUUUUCAAACCCGUCUUAACAUGAAAUCUGAGUUAAACAAUAAAACAAA
Molecule: unclassified non-coding RNA, 675 nt
Filed under: plant metagenome
Description: partial contains small subunit ribosomal RNA and internal transcribed spacer 1
Rfam family: Group I catalytic intron (bases 110-431)
Source: RNAcentral